This 255-nucleotide ribosomal RNA is filed under the name uncultured bacterium. Its description in RNAcentral is "partial 16S ribosomal RNA". It matches the Rfam family "Bacterial small subunit ribosomal RNA", at positions 524 to 776 of the family's 1533-position model. The record is from RNAcentral.
UACGGGGGGGACUAACGUUAUUCUUCAUAACUGGGCGUAAAGGGUGAGUAGGUCGCUUUUUAAGUCUAAAUUAAAGAAUCUAAGCUUAACUUAGAAAUUAAUUUUUAUACUGAAGAGCUCUGAGGUCGAUAAAGGUUUGUUAUAUUCUUGAAGUAAAAGUAAAAUCUUAACAUAUCGAGAGGAUAUCCGAGAGGUUAAUACGACUUACUAUAUCGGUGCUGACACUGAGGUACGAAGGCAUGGGCAUCAAACGGG